This is a non-coding RNA of Xyrichtys novacula (pearly razorfish), 727 nucleotides long. Lineage: Eukaryota; Metazoa; Chordata; Actinopteri; Labriformes; Labridae. The record is from the annotation of a GenBank genome assembly.
AUCAAAAUCACUGACAAAGUCAUUUUUUAAUCGUAAUUAGUUUAAUAAUUUCAGUCAUUAAUUAAAGCUAAUAACAUUUUUUAUUGCAUGUUUAGAGUUACGGUGUUUGAGUUCAUAUCAGAGUCUUGAUUUCCAAAAAUAAACUUUAUAAUUAUGACUUUCAGGUUUUCUCAUCAUUUCUUAUGUCUAAUGUUGGAGCCCUAAAGUAAAUGAAGAUACAGUUUAUCUGCAGGACUUCAGAACAGCCACACUUUUAAACUCUCUGGAAAAACAAAACCUUCAACUUUCCUCCUGCUGUUUUCUCAUCAAGACUAAAAGCAGGUCGAAGAAUCAAACUCUGACGACGCUCUGACUUCUAAAGGACUUUGCUCUUACGUAAGAACGUUUCCCAGGUGUGCAGAAAAACACACGGGGUCGCCCUCGUGUCGCCUUCACAGGGAGAGGAGAGGUGUGGUCUCAACAGGUAGGCUGAUGUAAUCUCUGCUGUAAGGAGGAGGAGGAGGAGGUGCUGCUGCAUGAAAGGAGGACAUGAGCCUGACCUCAUUAUUCCUGAGUCUAUUAGUCAUGCCUGUUUUAGUGGUGACACAAACACCAUGCAUGACUUAUUUUAUAUCUGCCUGUGAAAUGAGAGCCGACUGGUCUGAAAGAUCACAAAAAAAUGAAUGAAGCAAGACGAUUAAGGAGGAAAUUUACAAAGGUUUAUAAAAUGAGUCACAUACUGUCUUAC